CAGUAGCCGCGGUAAUACGGAGGGUGCAAGCGUUAAUCGGAAUUACUGGGCGUAAAGCGCACGCAGGCGGUUUGUUAAGUCAGAUGUGAAAUCCCCGGGCUCAACCUGGGAACUGCAUUUGAAACUGGCAAGCUAGAGUCUCGUAGAGGGGGGUAGAAUUCCAGGUGUAGCGGUGAAAUGCGUAGAGAUCUGGAGGAAUACCGGUGGCGAAGGCGGCCCCCUGGACGAAGACUGACGCUCAGGUGCGAAAGCGUGGGGAGCAAACAGGAUUAGAGACCCCGGUAGUCCCUGUCUCUUAUAC
RNAcentral lists this ribosomal RNA (301 nucleotides) under uncultured bacterium. Its description in RNAcentral is "partial 16S ribosomal RNA". It matches the Rfam family "Bacterial small subunit ribosomal RNA", at positions 509 to 807 of the family's 1533-position model. The record is from RNAcentral.